This 7652-nucleotide long non-coding RNA is filed under the name Gallus gallus (chicken). Lineage: Eukaryota; Metazoa; Chordata; Aves; Galliformes; Phasianidae. The record is from RNAcentral.
GGGUGCAUUCAAAAGCCAACAAUGUCACAUUUCUGAAUUGUGACCACCACCUCUCUUCCACGAGAGAACCUCAGUCCUGUUUCACCCCCUUUAAAUUAGUUUCCAAUGUUGGAUGUUAUUUAUUUCCCACCCUCCAACCUGUAGCUGUGUGGGGGCUCAGCACACGAGCACAGCCCUUCAACCUGGAAGAGGACAGCAGAGGAAUUCCAUAGCACUGCUUGCCAGAAUGCUGCCCUUCCUGGUAAGCCUUCAGGGCCUCGGGCUCACAUCUUGUAGCUGACUAAAAGUCACAGAAAGACCGAAAAGAAACCACCACCAACAAAAAAGAAGUGUAGUUUUUCAAUAUUAAAUCUUUAUUAUAUACAAAAAUAUUUUGUUGGGAAUUAACAGAAUUUCACAAUUUGUACAUUAAUAUCUUUACGCUUGGCUGUGUUUAUUGUGAAAAUAUUAGCUGUGAAAAACACAAUGGGGGUUUUAGAAAACAAGUUACCAUUUAAAAAUGUCCUAUGCAGGAGCUGAUCGAUAGAAAGUCAGCGUGCUAUCGAGUCCCACCUCCUAGGCCUGCUCUAAAGCAUUGUAUUCAAACAACAGGUAGUUACUCAGUCAGCUUCAGUUUCACAUUAGAAAAUGUAUUUAGUAGUUAAGAUCGCUUUGUAGGAUAUUUUCAGCUAAUAGAAAGUAUUUCUCUACAGGAGAGCAGUUCUUCAACAUUUACAAGUUUUAAAUCCAGUUUAGUUUAAUAUUCUGUAGAAGGGAAAAAAAAAAUUCAUGCAAAGCUUCCAAGAGGGAAAAACGGGUAUGAGAAUAAGCAGGGAAAGAAAUGCACGCUGACACUUUUAACACAUUUAAAUCAAAACACUUAGACAAGGUUUGGUAGUUCUUAGCCCAGCUGGGGGUGAGAGGGUGCCAAAGUUUCUGCUUUAAAACCUAAGGAAGAGGUUCCCCCUUACACGGGACUACUCAGGUGUUACGCACAGGAGAUGCAUACUGCAGGAGUCGGGGCAGGGAAAGCUCAACGUGCGUUUUCAGUGGGGGAAAAACCCCUUUCUGCAGUUCUCUCCAUGUAGAAUUGCACAAGAGGAACCAACACGAAUGGGUAAAACAAAAAAAGCCACAACAAUUUUUGCUGCCACUCCCAGAACUGUACAAAGCGGUGUCAUUAACGCUGCUCUGUAUCUCAUACGAGAGGUCAAAUGACUGCGAAGUUACUCGGGCUGUUGGGAGAGGUUUACCACACUCCAGGUGAGUGCUGUCUGCCUGUGGAGCGAUGACUUACAUCGGCUGUGAAGGCAGCCAAACUUACUUGCACAGACGUGCAUUACCGUGGAGGUAACAACACUAAAAGAAUGAAUGGGAGAAAAUGUUUCCAGGACUACUUUAACCCCUGUAGGUUGGUCCUAUUCCCCAUCCAACCUCUGCAUUAGCAGCAAAAGAAAAUCCAUACCCGAUUAGCAUGAGAAAAGGUUAAGAAUACCAAGAACAGAAUUCACACUUACUUUCAAUGUGUACUAUAAGAUCUAAAAUAUUGCUGAAACUCUCCUUUAAAAAAGGAAGGAAAAAAAAAGUCUAUUUGGAGGUAAAACUGCUACACAGCCUUUACUGAGCUGAAAUCUUCAUGUGAGCAGCUACGUUCCAGCUCCACUACCAGGAAAUGAACAAAGAAUUCAGCAGUUUAAUGUAACGCUUUGUGGAACAGUAUCCCACUGUGGUCCAAAAUGGAGAAUUCAAGUACGUUAGCAAAUACUGUUCUAUUUACUUGCAGUAUAUUAAUCCUAAGUUCUAUUUCUCUAUCUCUACCUAUAAAUUUGUGUGAGUACGCUUCUACUAUUUGGAAGCCAAAGCUGCCUCUGAAAAUUGGUUACUUUUGCAUUUUAUUUAAUGUAAUACAAUUUUUCCUUUUGCAUCCAGUAUAGGACUGCCAACAGCCAGUUGCACUGCUCUUAAAUGCCACUGCUUAUGUUGACCGCUGCGUCCUCUGACGGAGGCAAGGUGAGAAUCCCAGACCAUUCACGUCUGUAUGGGUUAAAAAUGUGAAAACCAAAAAGAGUGGGGAAAAAAACAAAACAGGGCCAGAACCUCAGCAUCUCCCAGAACAACAGUCCACGGUGACAGUCCGCAGAGAAAUCCAAGUGCCUUGCGCUGAAGAAACCCCGUGAAUGGCCCAGGAGAGGUUUUCUGUAAGAACUCCAGGGAUAUUUAAGGCAAGAGGUCUGGCAGAAUAGAAGUCUUUUGUAUCAAUUAAGUGCUAUCUAAACGUGGACAAAUCGAUCUCUGAACGCUUUUGCAGAAGAAGUAGUGUUAAAUUUGGCAAUAACAACGCAAUGCUUUAACCCUUCAGAAUUCGGGUGAGGCGAGAAACCCUGCAGGAAGCAAAUAUUCCAUACAUCUUAGCAUGAUAGAUGCGACAGACUUCCACCUGUAAUUAGUGUUAGAGCUGUACCUACAGGCACAGAGUGACUGGGAAGCUACUGCAGCAGGCACUAUAGAUGUUCUGAGAAUUGGCAUCUGCCUCCAAGUUCAGUCUGAAGGAUGAAGAUAGAUGAAGACUGGAUGGGAAGCCAAGGAAUAGGGAGAGAAGUUUGGGUUGGAUCACAUUCACAGUAACAGCCUGUGUAAAAACAGAUAACCCAGCUCUCCUGAUCUCUGGAGUUGUGCUCUACUUGUCAUUCUCUACUGGUCCUUUCUUAAGCACAGCAGAGAGGCAAACUUGGCUUCAAAGGGUCCCUAGCCAGGAAUUUUCUGUCUUGAAAAGAGAAAGGAAAAUUUCCUAUUAUUAAUCAUCUGAAUCACCCUAAAAAAAAACCCCAUAAGAAACCAUGGAACACUUCCUGAACGCUGAGCUGCUGGCAAUUUGUACAGCAAAUCAUUCAGGUGGGAUUUUAGAGGACACGAUGAGUUAGGACAGAAGAUAAGGAAAAAACAAGUUGCAUUUUGAGCCUACCAAGGAUGUGACAGACUAUACAAACACGGAUUCAGAAAGAGCCCAUCUGCUAUCCUGCAGCUUUUGUAUGACUGAGUACACAGAGCUGCACUCAUCUGAGAACUCUGCAGACUGAGAGUACCACAUGGGGUGUAGGCUUAUUUCCCUUGCCUGUGUCAGUACGUGGUACCGCUCCAAUUUUACCUUCAUUUUAUGCUUGCAGAUCAUUAUUAAAGCCCUUUGUACGUCUAUGCAAGAUGACAUAUUACACCAAACUUUAACUGACUGCGUGUUGUCACACGACAGAACCUAAAGUAGACCUGCAGGUCUAACAGUUAGGGACAGCAAGGUAAUCGUGUGGGUAUAAAUGCACCAAAGUAUUUACAUUAAGGUUGAGACUGGUGUAUGGUUAGGGGCAUUUUUGGUGCAUUUAAGGAAAUAACUUACGGGUCUUGGCGUACUGACUGUGUUUUUAUGUAUAACUUUUCAUACAGAGGGCAACUACAGUGUUUCUUCUAUAAGUCUCUCUAUAUGUACAGAAUUUUACAGCACCUCCAUGCACUGUUUAAAACAUAGAAAUUACAGAUAAAUAUAGAAUUUUUAGAUUGAAAUAUCUGUAUAUUUAGAAAAAUAUACAUUAGUAAACACAAUAAACCAGGUAGAGAAGUGUACCAGUUCUAAAGUCUCACAUGCAGGUACAUUUCUGGAUUAAGUCAUGGGAGAUAGCAAUGUGGUAGCAGACAUGAGCAUUUUUGUUUCACCAUCCACAUACAUACAUAUACACAGACAACUAUUUGAUAAUUCACUUUUCUAAUCUACUUAAAUAUUUAUCUUGUGAUACAUACCACAUAUCUUAAACAUUUAGCAGCAUCUUCGCCUCGCUCAGACACACCUAUUGUUACUAACAGUCAAUGUAAAAAGUUUUCCUGUUAUCUGGAAAAUGAAUGCUCAGUACGGAAUGAGAGACGUGACAUCCUAGCUAUUUAUCCCCCAGGAAUACUUCAAACAGCUCUUAUAUGAAAUGGCUUCCCUUGCUCAGAACUCGCCUUCCACACCAUCUUUUCCCUCGCAGCGCAACGUACAGCUCCCUGCCCAACUUCUGACCUAGCACACUGUAACAGGUGGAGUCUGUCACCGCCGUGUACGUGACCAACAUGGCAUCCUCAUUCUAAGACUCUCCAGGAAAGCUUUGGUUUAAUAAAAGUAACUUAUUUUCAAUCCAGUCACCUACUACGCAGCAAUAAUCUAAGCAGAAUAUCUGAUGAAAAAAAUAAUUCCCAAACACUGUACACCUGCCAACAUGGACUCUCAAUCAGUAUGAUUCAACAAACAGAUGCAAGGAAUGUAUUUUUUCCUUCUUUAAACUUGCAAAUGACCAUCCAGUUAAGACCUGCAUUCACUUCGAUAACGGUCCUUGAAUGCAACCUUAGCAACCCAUUGCUUAUUGCUUCAGAUCGUACCUCUCAUUAGCAUCUAUAUUAACAGCAGCAGAGGGUCAGCUGCUGGGCUCCACUGUGCUAACUUCAAUGUGCUUGAUUGCUAAACACUGUGUGGAGCUUAAGUAAAAGCUAAAGCUUCAGGCUUCAGCAAAUACACGGCUACUUGGAGACUGCUUACUAUGUAGGCUCUUUUCACAGUAUGAUCUCUGAGAUGGAAAUAGGAGGAGUGAGGUUUUCGUGACUAAACCUUGGUGCCCGUGUCUCGUGGGAUUCUUUUGGCUGAGUACAUGUCUGAAAAAUGAUGAAAAGAGGUGAUGUCUGCAAUAUCAACUACUAUGGGGUGGAAACUGAAGAAUCAUCUCGUUCCGUUCUUGAAGGAAGAGUGAGCUCAGCCCACUUUUGGCAUCACAAAUAGAGUAUUUUCUAACUCCUAAUGAAAAGGCAUCGCAUCUGUCCAGGAAGCACAUCUUAUUUACAGCACAUGUAGGUCUUCUAUUACACAGCAUACAAACACAAUUCCGUCACGUUAAGCUUAUAAUGCCAAAACAAAAUCACUCAAAUAGUCAAGCAACGGCUCUGCUGUCUUUGCUGCUACAUAAAACACUCCAUCUAUUUCUCAGAGCAGCCUCUGAGUGACAGGAUCACAGAACACGUCUCUGGGAAAGGCAAAUAAAGGGCUGGCGCUGAUGCUGCCGCGCUUAAAUAAAACCAGAGCAAACAAAGCCAAUAAAGCAAAGUAGUGGCACAAAUUUUCCUUCGGAACUUUCAGAUUCCUUCCCUAAGACUGAAAUCUCAGAGUUCAGAGCCAGGACAACGCCCCGUGCUUACACAGCUCUCACAUUCUCCAAAUCCACUGUGAUCUUAAGCUGCCCCCUGCCCAACAGCCAACUUUUCUGUAGCAUACAGGUGGGGUGGUUUUGCUUUUUGAGAUGUAAGCUUUUCCUAUAUAAUAUCAACGGUUUCUCAUGUGCACGUAGAAGGCAUUAAGAGCCCCAGGAACCAAUACUGCUUUACAGUGUGCAGGCCUCUUUUCCUUCAGAAACACUUCUGAGGAAAUUGCCUUUUUGUGUGUUCUGUAUCACAUUUUGGUGCCGAAAAAGAAUCCAGAAGCAAGGUGCCUGUCACCAGAUGGAAGAGAAAUUAAGCGCAUAGAUGACUCCUGUUUAGCCCGGUAAGCAAUGGUGAAUGCUGCUAUAUACAACAGCUAACAGGAUAAUAUAAAACGUGAUCACAAAAAGAGCCAGUCUCGGUGACAAGCUGUAUUUUCAUUUUGUUCUUGUCAAGCAGAAACGUACAUUAGCACAAGCUUUGAUCGACGAACCUAACGUGAGUUAUGUCUAUGAGCCUACAAAGGGGAGAACUGUCACCAUACACAAAAAGAAGCGUGUUGUAAAGCACAAAAAUUACGAACAGCGUGGCUUUUUAGCAGUAAGCUUCCAAUUCACAAGCUAUCUAAUGAAAAAAUCAAUUAAAAACACAAUGCAACAAAGAGCACGGAAAUUCCAUUACAUCACACUCAAAAAUACAACAGUUGUUCACACAAAUUUUCUAAAAGAACACAAAACUCAGCUAGAUAUCUCAGAAAAUUAAGCCACAGAUCACUACAUAAACAUCAGAUGAUGUCCUAAGAAAAGAAAAUGCUGGCUUGGGGUCUUUUUUGUUUUGUUUUUUUUUUCCUUUUUUAAAUCAAUGUGUUUUCACACGCAUGAAUACAACAGUCCUAAAUGUUAAGCUUUACUCUACAAGGCUCCGCUAUCAGGUUCUCUCUCCGGCUACAUCAGCACUGCACUGAGUUACCUUGCAUACACGCUCCCUGCCGUAGGUACUUCCACCACAAGAGGCUUCUGACGGGUUGGCUCCCAACAACAGCUGAUGAGCAGCUUGCAAGGUAUUGCUUCGUGUGAUUUCAAGGGACGCAUAAGGGAACCUACAGAACAGUUGUCUAAAUCAAGAGACAUCAGGAAUUCAUGAAACAUCAAGAAUGCUUCAACAUUCAGCAGAAGGAAGCUGGAGCAAUGGAGCUGUGUCGCUUGUUGCUUUUAGCAUUUGAAAUUCUACUCCUGUCAAAUCAUUACUUCUUAAGGAAGAAAAAGAAAUUAGUGUUGUUUCCUAAUAAGAGCCAUAGACUUUUGACCGGUUAAACACUGACAUUAACGAGUUUUACAAAAAUUGUUUCAAGUAUCCUCUUUUUAGUCACAGUGAAAAUGUAAGACCAGGAUGUAAAUGUCAAAGUGAAGGACUCAAAGUUUCUCGGAUGAAAAAGGCAAAGGUACUAAAUCAAAACGUAUAAAAUGCUUAAACGCAUUUCCUUCAUGUGAUAUGAAUAGAAAGGUUAUCUGUAAAAAGUUAGAAAAAUUAAAAUAAAUUACAUAUUUAAGUACACUUUCCCUUCAGCAUCAUUAUAAAAAGUCAGAAUAGUGUACUUCUGAAUAUACACAGAGUAAAAAUGCGCAGGCGCCGCAGCUAUCAUCGCUAUCUACACCACAUCUCGUCACGUUAGUUUGUUUGCUGCAGUUGGUUUUAUUUGUUACUUAAGCUCAUCUUCAGCAAUCUCAGUACACCCAGCUAAUCGGGACCCACUGUGGUUCCAGCCUCAGCUUCUCUAUAGCAGUCUGCAGCUUCUCAAAGGCUUUGUCCAGGUUGUCAUUUACAAUGGUCAGAUCGAAGUAGUGGUUGUACGCUCUCUGGAUCCGGGCACUUUCAUCCACUGUUUUUUUCAGAUCAGUGUCAGUGAGAAGUUUGGUUGUAAUUCCAGCAUCUACCACAGCCUUGUGCAUAGCACGCAAAGUCUCCAACUCUGGAGCAGCAAUGAACACCACGUAGGGCAUGAAUUCCGAAGUCCUCAGUAUUUUCAGGGCCUGUGGAUUCACAUCCAAAAUGCAGGUCCUUCCUGUCUGAACAACUUCAAGGAUAGAAUCAAUUUUAGUGCCAUAAAGAUUUCCUUCAUAUUCUCCAUGCUCUAAGUAUCUGCCAGCUUUAAUAUCCAUCUCCAUUUCAGCUCGUGACACAAAUCUGUAUGCUUGUCCAUCCUUUUCAUCAUCCCUUGGCUUUCGUGAAGUAAAUGGCACUGUAGUUCCAAACCUAGUAGGAUUCAGUACUAUAAACCUGUUCUUCAAGCUUCUUCGUCCCACUCCCUGGGCCCCAAUUAAGACCAGUGUUUUCCUCUGAAAAGGAGGCAUUUUGGCUACUUCUUCAUAGAUCUGGAUUUCAUGACGAUCAAAUUCUGCAUUUCUUGUAGUAAGAUACAUCAUCUUUUUCUUUUUUUUGCUGCUUAUUGUUCCGCAGAAAGGCCC